This 104-nucleotide small nuclear RNA is filed under the name Jaculus jaculus (lesser Egyptian jerboa). Lineage: Eukaryota; Metazoa; Chordata; Mammalia; Rodentia; Dipodidae. The record is from RNAcentral.
GUGCACGCUUCAGCAGCUCAUACACUAAAACUGGAAGAAUACAGAGAAGAUUAGCAUGGCCCUUGCUCAAAGAUGAUCUGCAAAUUCAUGAAUUAAAAAAUUAU